Molecule: transfer RNA, 55 nt
Filed under: Oxyopes licenti
Lineage: Eukaryota; Metazoa; Arthropoda; Arachnida; Araneae; Oxyopidae
Description: tRNA-Leu
Source: RNAcentral
AAUAAUCUAUUUGGCAGAAAAAGUGCAUUAAGUUUAAGUCUUAAAAAUAAAUUAU